GAUGAACGCUGGCGGCGUGCCUAAUACAUGCAAGUCGAGCGAACGGACGAGAAGCUUGCUUCUCUGAUGUUAGCGGCGGACGGGUGAGUAACACGUGGAUAACCUACCUAUAAGACUGGGAUAACUUCGGGAAACCGGAGCUAAUACCGGAUAAUAUUUUGAACCGCAUGGUUCAAAAGUGAAAGACGGUCUUGCUGUCACUUAUAGAUGGAUCCGCGCUGCAUUAGCUAGUUGGUAAGGUAACGGCUUACCAAGGCAACGAUGCAUAGCCGACCUGAGAGGGUGAUCGGCCACACUGGAACUGAGACACGGUCCAGACUCCUACGGGAGGCAGCAGUAGGGAAUCUUCCGCAAGGGGCGAAAGCCUGACGGAGCAACGCCGCGUGAGUGAUGAAGGUCUUCGGAUCGUAAAACUCUGUUAUUAGGGAAGAACAUAUGUGUAAGUAACUGUGCACAUCUUGACGGUACCUAAUCAGAAAGCCACGGCUAACUACGUG
RNAcentral lists this ribosomal RNA (497 nucleotides) under uncultured bacterium. Its description in RNAcentral is "partial 16S ribosomal RNA". It matches the Rfam family "Bacterial small subunit ribosomal RNA", at positions 28 to 507 of the family's 1533-position model. The record is from RNAcentral.